UUGUGAAGUUAGCACAACACUAAUGCACCGGAUCCCAUCAGAACUCCACAGUUAAGCGUGCUUGGGCGAGAGCGGUACUCAGAUGGGUGACCACUUGGGAAGUCCCCAUGUUGCACCCC
This is a non-coding RNA of Citrus sinensis (sweet orange), 119 nucleotides long. Lineage: Eukaryota; Viridiplantae; Streptophyta; Magnoliopsida; Sapindales; Rutaceae. The record is from Rfam.